ACGAGCGGCGAACGGGUGAGUAACACGUGAGCAACCUACCCUCAACUUCGGGAUAAGCCUCGGAAACAAGGUCUAAUACCGGAUAUCACUCCUUUCCUCAUGGUUUGGGGUUGAAAGUUCUGGCGGUUGGGGAUGGGCUCGCGGCCUAUCAGCUUGUUGGUGGGGUAAUGGCCUACCAAGGCGUCGACGGGUAGCCGGCCUGAGAGGGCGACCGGCCACACUGGGACUGAGACACGGCCCAGACUCCUACGGGAGGCAGCAGUGGGGAAUAUUGCGCAAUGGACGAAAGUCUGACGCAGCAACGCCGCGUGAGGGAUGACGGCCUUCGGGUUGUAAACCUCUUUCAGCAGGGACGAAGCGAGAGUGACGGUACCUGCAGAAGAAGGACCGGCCAACUACGUGCCAGCAGCCGCGGUAAUACGUAGGGUCCGAGCGUUGUCCGGAAUUAUUGGGCGUAAAGGGCUCGUAGGCGGUUCGUCACGUCGGGAGUGAAAACUCGGAGCUCAACUCCGAGCCUGCUUCCGAUACGGGCAGACUAGAGGUAGGCAGGGGAGAGCGGAACUCCUGGUGUAGCGGUGGAAUGCGCAGAUAUCAGGAAGAACACCGGUGGCGAAGGCGGCUCUCUGGGCCUUACCUGACGCUGAGGAGCGAAAGCGUGGGUAGCGAACAGGAUUAGAUACCCUGGUAGUCCACGCCGUAAACGUUGGGCGCUAGGUGUGGGGGACAUUCCACGUCCUCCGUGCCGCAGCUAACGCAUUAAGCGCCCCGCCUGGGGAGUACGGCCGCAAGGCUAAAACUCAAAGGAAUUGACGGGGGCCCGCACAAGCGGCGGAGCAUGCGGAUUAAUUCGAUGCAACGCGAAGAACCUUACCUGGGUUUGACAUAUAGGGAAAUCCUCCAGAGAUGGGGGGUCCGUAAGGGUCCUAUACAGGUGGUGCAUGGCUGUCGUCAGCUCGUGUCGUGAGAUGUUGGGUUAAGUCCCGCAACGAGCGCAACCCUCGUCCUAUGUUGCCAGCACGUUAUGGUGGGGACUCAUAGGAGACUGCCGGGGUCAACUCGGAGGAAGGUGGGGAUGACGUCAAGUCAUCAUGCCCCUUAUAUCCAGGGCUUCACGCAUGCUACAAUGGCCGGUACAAAGGGCUGCGAAACCGCAAGGUGGAGCGAAUCCCAAAAAGCCGGUCUCAGUUCGGAUUGGGGUCUGCAACUCGACCCCAUGAAGUCGGAGUCGCUAGUAAUCGCAGAUCAGCAACGCUGCGGUGAAUACGUUCCCGGGCCUUGUACACACCGCCCGUCACGUCAUGAAAGUCGGCAAC
Molecule: ribosomal RNA, 1313 nt
Filed under: Kribbella sp.
Lineage: Bacteria; Bacillati; Actinomycetota; Actinomycetes; Propionibacteriales; Kribbellaceae
Description: bacterial SSU rRNA
Rfam family: Bacterial small subunit ribosomal RNA
Source: RNAcentral